AACCACAGCUCUACCCACCCCGCCUCCUCCAUCGCCUCCUGCCUCAGCCCCCAUGGUGUCAGUUAACAGGAAAUGACCUGCCCAUCUCCAUGGUGAUGACCCUGCCCUCCCAGGCUGAGGAUGGAUUGGAUGAUGACUGUGAUGAUGUCACUGCUCUCACCACAAAGCAUAACUUCUGAGCUGAUCCAGCUGAUACAGACCCUGGACAAAUGCAUUGCACAAAGAUGUUGACAUGUUUUUGGUCCAAAUAAAAGCUGAUAGUUGUUCAGA
Micropterus dolomieu (smallmouth bass) is the source of this 270-nucleotide long non-coding RNA. RefSeq lists it as uncharacterized. NCBI's taxonomy places the organism in Eukaryota, Metazoa, Chordata, Actinopteri, Centrarchiformes, Centrarchidae. The record is from RefSeq and is a predicted model, not a curated record. The transcript is spliced from 2 exons.